GCGUCUGUAGCUCAGUAGGAUAGAGCGUUCGCCUCCUAAGNNAGAGCGGAGGUUUCCUAAACCUUGUCUGCCGUGGGUUCGACUCCCUCCAGGCGCA
Molecule: transfer RNA, 97 nt
Filed under: Candidatus Gastranaerophilales bacterium HUM_15
Lineage: Bacteria; Bacillati; Candidatus Melainabacteria; Candidatus Gastranaerophilales
Description: tRNA-Arg
Rfam family: tRNA
About the family: Transfer RNA (tRNA) molecules are approximately 80 nucleotides in length. Their secondary structure includes four short double-helical elements and three loops (D, anti-codon, and T loops).
Source: RNAcentral